UGACCUGUGGUGUAAUUGGCAACACGUGAGAUUCUGGCUCUCAAAUUCAGGGUUCAAGUCCUUGCAGGUCAA
Molecule: transfer RNA, 72 nt
Filed under: Bacteroidales bacterium
Lineage: Bacteria; Pseudomonadati; Bacteroidota; Bacteroidia; Bacteroidales
Description: tRNA-Gln
Rfam family: tRNA
About the family: Transfer RNA (tRNA) molecules are approximately 80 nucleotides in length. Their secondary structure includes four short double-helical elements and three loops (D, anti-codon, and T loops).
Source: RNAcentral